This 480-nucleotide ribosomal RNA is filed under the name uncultured bacterium. RNAcentral describes it as "partial 16S ribosomal RNA". It matches the Rfam family "Bacterial small subunit ribosomal RNA", at positions 28 to 507 of the family's 1533-position model. The record is from RNAcentral.
GAUGAACGCUAGCGGCAGGCCUAACACAUGCAAGUCGAGGGGUAGAAGGAGCUUGCUCCUUUGAGACCGGCGCACGGGUGCGUAACGCGUAUGCAAUCUACCUUGUACAGGGGAAUAGCCCAGAGAAAUUUGGAUUAAUGCCCCAUAGUAUAUAACCUUCGCAUGUUGGUUAUAUUAAAGUUCCAACGGUACAAGAUGAGCAUGCGUCCCAUUAGUUAGUUGGUAAGGUAACGGCUUACCAAGACGAUGAUGGGUAGGGGUCCUGAGAGGGAGAUCCCCCACACUGGUACCGAGACACGGACCAGACUCCUACGGGAGGCAGCAGUGAGGAAUAGUGGUCAAUGGUCGCAAGACUGAACCAGCCAUGCCGCGUGCAGGAAGACGGUCCUAUGGAUUGUAAACUGCUUUUAUACAGGAAGAAACCCUCCCACGUGUGGGAGCUUGACGGUACUGUAGGAAUAAGGAUCGGCUAACUCCGUG